ACGGCCAACAAAUAUUGUUUGUAACAAAAAUCUGUUAUUUGUAAGAGAAAGCAAAAUGUUAGUAGUAUCGCAAAAACGAAAUAAUUGACGCGUGAUUACUUGAAUACGAUUUAAGAAUUAUAAAAUACACAUAACCCUGUUAACUUUUUUCCACCCUCGACUUGUUGUUGAAUGGACACGUUUCCAUUCAAUAGCAAUAUCAUCCCAAGACUGCAUAAAUUGAAAUGAAUCGUUUAGGUUUAUCAACAAAUUAAAUCAACUAAUUGCAAAUUGAUAACAAAAUAUAAUGAGCAGGAUAUAUGUACAAAUUGAUCGAUUCAUGUGCAAAUAAAACUAAAACAUAAGUUAUAUAUAAUAAGCAUAUUAUAGCUCAGCCAACAUAGACCAAUUUAUUAUGUUAACAGCGAUGAUCAAGCUUCUCAAAUGUGUUCUUCACACAUACACACACAUAUAUAAAUUUACUCGUAUGUUAUCUGAAUGAGUUUAUGUAAGAUAUGUUAUCUGAUGUUCAUACAUUACUAAAUCAUGUAUUCAGUUGGCCAAAGAAGAAAUUGUUAUUCAGUGGAGGCAUCAUACUCUCAAAACAUUAUCAGAUUUGCUUACACAGAAAAGAGCAAGGAAAUAUAAACCAAUUUUCUGCAAAUUAGAGAAUGAGUAACUUCUACGAAGGCAUCAUCUGUUAAAUAAGUGGACGAAUGUAUCACGUGGAUUCAAAAACAUGAGGGUGUAUGCGUAAUAUACGGUAUUGUAAUUUGAGUAACUGUACUUCAUGUUUUUUAAGCUUCGGCUUGAUCAACUAAAAAUAUUGUAUUACACCCUACAAUAAUUUAUGGGGUUUGCUAUUUCUAUAGGGAAACUUGUUAGUCCUAGUCACUUCCAUUUCACAUGACUAUAGGACCCACAUAUACCCAUCAGGAGUCUUGCUAGCAUAUGCCACAACUACAACGAUGCCACAACUUAUUCAAGCAUCAGUCUCAUUUAUAACAAUAUGCAAAUAUUCAACUAUUCAACAAUUAACACAUAUAUAAAGACAAUAUUUGUUGUGGAGUUGUCAGCUAAUUCAAAACAUUUAUCAGUCAAUUCAAAACAUAUCAAGACUUUUAUCGUAAGAAGAUCAAUAAUGCACGGAGAUAAGAAAUGAUACCUCAAACAUAUAAAAUUAUAACAAAACUUCAGGAUAGACGAUAUUUGUUGUGGACUUGUCAGUUAAUUCACGAAGAAGUAUGUAUAAGCGGGAAGAACUUGUGCAUCUUGACAGAGCUACAUAUAGUUGACCGUGACUAAAUACUGGUGUACGUAAAUCUACCCCAACAAAUUUGACAGACUGGCCCUGUGAUUUAUUCAUUGUCAUUGCUUACGCUAACCUCACUGGGAAUUGUCUUCUUGUCAUUUUAAUACUCAACUCAGACAAAGAAGGAGUCAAAGAAAUUCGUGGAAUGAAUACCAAGUCGCCAUGCUUAUCACCAGUUAAAAUCUUUGCUUCAAGUACUAAAGCACCACACUUGACUAUGAUAAGUCUAGUACCAUUACAAAGGCCAUCUUUCGGUGCAAUGUUCCUUAGAAGCAUUAUUGGACAACCCUCUUUUAAAUCUAAUUUGAACGGUGGUAGUCCAGGGGGAUUGAGCGUGUUCAAAUAUUCAUUCGGGUACCGAUGCAUAAUAGUCCGAUCCACAUCAUCAUCUUCAACCAUUUUGUCAGCAGCAAAGUAUGUAUGUUCUUCUCCCGGAAAAACCGCCAAAGCAGCUAUGUUGAUAUCAUUGACAUCAUCAUUUCUAGCAGAUAGAAUUGUGCGCUCUUUUGAGAAUUCAGGAGUGACCUUACUUGGCACUUCUAGUUCUGGGUAGAUGGUCGAGAUAAGAUUAUCUACACUUUGAGUUAUUUUUAUUGAAUUUGGAAGUUGUAUAGAUUCUUGAGGGUUAGACCCAAUCUACACAAUAAUGAAGUAUUAGUAAAUUAUCAAAUAUUCCGGACGAUAUAUAGAUGUCAAUAUGAAUAAAGAUACAAAUACUCAAACCUCAUUAAGAAAAGCCGAGAAAUNNNNNNNNNNNNNNNNNNNNNNNNNNNNNNNNNNNNNNNNNNNNNNNNNNNNNNNNNNNNNNNNNNNNNNNNNNNNNNNNNNNNNNNNNNNNNNNNNNNNAUUAUAUGGUACAACAUCUCUAUUAUCAACUUCAUGUCCAGACCUUAGAGAAUGUUUUCGACCUUCAUUGCGCCUUUGAUAUAUCGGAUACCCAUCUACGCCCAUUGUAGUUUCUUCUGCCCAACAUUUAGGAUAUCUCUUGAUGCAUUUACCAUCUUCCAUACAUGGUGAUUUAAGAUUUCGAACACCACAUGGUCCAUGUACCAUGCAAGUUUUAACUGUUUCAUAUAGAAGUAGAUCAGAAAUUGGAUCGGGGAAUUCGGCACAAACAGCUCGAUUUACCUGUUCACGUGUUCGUAUUUUAUCAGACCCUUGAAGAAAUAUUAGCAAAUGCAUGUGCGGCAACCCACGCUUUUGGAAUUCAAUCGUGAAAACAUGUGCCACCUUUGCACCAAAUACUUUUUUCUUAUCAAUUUCCAUCAUCAAAGCUCGUCGCUUCAAUUCAAAUACGCGGGCCACCAAGUCUGGGCGGUCAAUUGACGUUUGAUGUGGUAACAGUGCAUCUUUUAUCUCGGGCCAAUUCGGAUUUGCAGUCAUAGUUAAGAAAAUAUCAGGGUGUUGGUUAUACCGAGUUAUGGCCAUAGAAUCUUGGAAGAUUUCAAAUAUUUGCCUUGGACUCCCAGAAAAAGAAGAAGGCAAAACUACUCGUUUACCAACUUGAUUAGCCUCUAACCCAUCAGGAACUACCUCGACCAAAUCCUGGUAUAGAUCAGAUCGCAAUUUUUGUUGGUUGAGCCUAUAAUAUGUUAAUCGAUUCUGCUCUGUUGCCGCCCAUGCAUCUACAACAAACUCUUGAAAUAAUCUUCCACCCCUCAAGAUAGUUGAAUACUCAGUAGGUCUUUCAAACAAACGAUAACCAUAAUAUUGCAAUUGCGUAAGUCUUUUUGAUGAAGCUUUACCUUGAUUGACAUCCCACUGCUUAAAAUCUGGUUCCCAUCCAAGCUCACCAUACGGAAACAACAAUACGUAAUGUAGUGGUAAAUAAGCUGGAUGGCAUUCAUUUAUCUGCAUCAACUGGUCAUUCCCUUUUAACCGUACAAUAAUAUCCCUCAUCGCAGAGAAUUCAGCACCAUCUCCAGGUAAUAUGAUAGCCACCUCCUCUGACGUGGGUAAAUUAUGAGUUUGACGGUCUUUUGCUGCACUAUAAUGAAGGUAUGCUGGGAUGUCGCGAUUGUUCAAAUGUUCCAUGCUUAAAAUUGCAGCUGCAUGUCUAAACUUACCCGAAAAUGAGUUGUAUCUCAAAAGUCUAUCCUGGAUUGUUCUUAGGACAUCCUCUCGCAGCUUCGGGUUUCUCCGAGAACGAUAUUCUAAAGCAACUGUGGCAUCGUGAAUGUACAACUGUGCAUAUACUGGAUCUUGACCGGCUGGAGGUUGUAGUAACCCUGUCCGAUGUCGCAAUUCCCCAUGGAUUGUAAAUGCGUUGGGACCCCUACCAGGAACCACUCUAUCAUCCAUAUGUACACCUAAGCUCGUAAAAGCAUUAGAAGCAUUGUACAGUCGGGUAUAACUUCGAAAGGACUUUGACUGAUCAUCAUUGCCAUCAUAUAAUGAUUGAAUUUCUGGAGGAGGCGUUAAUAGUUGUGGAAGUUGAAUCUUUCCUUGCAAACAACAUGUACCGAAGAAAGGGCGGUCAACAGAUGAAUUUGAUAACUUUUCGGCUUUUCAAUGCAAUGCUGAGUAGUGAAGACACUGUAUAUUCAUUUUAUCGAGGUAGUGUCUUCCUAAAAUAGGAUACGACAGAGGGGCUAUAUUUGUAGGCAAUGCCUCUUGUACGCAAGCUUCAUCAAUGACUGACUGAAUAAUUGGUAAUAACCUAGAAAAUAAAUGAACGUGUUUCAAAUAGUUUACAUAUAUUGUAACACUCCUUUUGGUAUAUAGUUAUAAAUAAUGUGCAUUGAACUAACCCCAAAGUUGGUGAUGUAGGCAUGGAAGAUGAUAUAAUGUUACGGGAGUCAUGUACAUGCUCUAUAUUAUUUGGUGGAAGGAGGAUUUCUGCACCCAUUGAAUUUGAGUUGGUUGAAUGUAACCCUUGAGGUGGUAAAAUUGGAACUGGAGGAAUUCGAUUAGAAUCUGUUGGCGCAAGUUUUAACAACGACGGAUGCUGAUAAAAAUGAUUCUUGAUCGAGAUACAAUCCUGUUCAUAAGCUGCGCGUUGGGAUGGCCUGGGGAUCAAACCAGGGAAAAAUCUUGGUUGAAAUGGAUAUGGUUGAGAUUGUAUUAUUUUUGUUUGCUUCUCUCUUUCACGACGCAAGCGCUGAGCAAUAUGUAUUGGACGCAUAUCACCAUUAUCCCUUUCUCGUUUUUUACGUCGAGGAAUUGGAGCUUCGUCAAGGAUAUUUUUAUUGGAUCCCUACAAAUAACAAUAGAUAUCUAAGUGUAAAGAGAAGAAAUCGUAGUGUUUUUUGAGCAAAAAAUAAUAUUUUCUAUUUAUUCGAAUUAGGGUGCAUAUAUUCAGUUUGCGCGAUUUUGUAUUUCAUACGAAAACGCUAUGCAAUAUGUUUAUUGCCUUUUCGUAAAGGAUAUUAUUAUUGAAACCCUAAAAAGAUGUAUAAUUAUAAACCUAAAAAGGCAUAGUGUCGUUAAUAAAUUAUCAUCUUUGCUUCAAGUACUAAAGCACCACACUUGACUAUGAUAUAAGUCUAGUACCGGUGUCGUUAAUAAAUUAGGUUCAAAUAUUUUGUUUAAAUGACUUUAUGUAACAAAUAUUUGUAACUACUAACAUAAAAGUCUGGAAUAUUGUAUACUUACCACAUGCAAAUUGGGGGGUUGAUUUUCUUUUUCUUUUCCUUUUUCUUUUUGUAACUCCUUCCCUUUUUCCUUUGCUCGAUGUUUUCUUUGAUUUUCCUGACAGCGUACAAAUAUAAGAUGUUUUGUCUUGGAAAAUAAAGUAUGAGCUUAAGAAAAGAAAAAAGUAAUCUUAUCUUGCCUUACGCAUCAUCUUCAAUUCAGAUUCUUCUCGAAUGAUAAUACCAAUAUUCUUUUUUCGAUAAUGCUCUCUCUAUUAAAGAAAGGAAAAAAAGAAGGUUAAAUAUAGAAAGUAUAAAAAAAAACUAUUAAAUUGCAAGUUUGCUAUAAAAGAAGAAAAUAAUUUUACCGUGCAUUGCAAAUUAUAAUCCUCCUGUCCCAAAUUGAAAGACACGUUAGAAAUUUCAAAAAGGGAUAUUAAUUGUUCAAUUUUCAUUAAGUCUGAAAAAGGAGCUUACAUAUCCAAACACAGUAUAAGAAGGUGGUCCCGUGGGCAG
This 5379-nucleotide long non-coding RNA is filed under the name Panax ginseng (ginseng). RNAcentral's name for it is "long non-coding RNA (PGIN_LNC010638)". The record is from RNAcentral. Lineage: Eukaryota; Viridiplantae; Streptophyta; Magnoliopsida; Apiales; Araliaceae.